CCGGUCACGCUGAAGAAGAUGACGACACUGCCAGGUGGGCCCCGGGUGUCAGCGGGUGGAAAGAGGGGGCGCGCCUGCUGCAGUGGGGUCCGCGCGUCAGCCAAACAAGGAGAGAAAGGGGGAUCAGGGGCGCGCGCGGCUUGGGCCGUCUGCUGGGCUGGUCUGCGGGUUGGGCCGAAGGGGAAAGAAAAGGGGUGCUGGCUGUGUUUUUUUUCUUUUCUAUUUUCUUUAAAAGCCAUUUCAAACUCAUUUCAAAAUCCUUUUUAAAUCUGUUUGAAAUAUUUUAAACUUUUGUCAAACGCACACACAUCA
RNAcentral lists this long non-coding RNA (312 nucleotides) under Sorghum bicolor (sorghum). RNAcentral describes it as "long non-coding RNA (SBIC_LNC009712)". Lineage: Eukaryota; Viridiplantae; Streptophyta; Magnoliopsida; Poales; Poaceae. The record is from RNAcentral.